AGAGUUUGAUCCUGGCUCAGGACGAACGCUUGCGGCGUGCCUAAGAAAUGCAAGUCGAACGGAUCAGUAGCAAUACUGGUUAGUGGCGAACGGUCGCGUAACACGUAGGCAACCUGCCCAAAAGUGGGGGACAACAGUUCGAAAGGACUGCUAAUACCGCAUAUUGUUGUUUAUCGGCAUCGAUUUACAACCAAAGCAUUUAUGCGCUUUGGAUGGGCUUGCGGCCUAUCAGGUAGUUGGUGGGGUAAUAGCCUACCAAGCCGACGACGGGUAGCUGGUCUGAGAGGACGAUCAGCCGGAUUGGGACUGAGAUACGGCCCAGACUCCUACGGGAGGCAGCAGUGGGGAAUAUUGGACAAUGGGCGAAAGCCUGAUCCAGCAAUGCCGCGUGAGUGAAGAAGGCCUUCGGGUUGUAAAGCUCUUUUACCCGGGAAGAUAAUGACUGUACCGGGAGAAUAAGCCCCGGCUAACUCCGUGCCAGCAGCCGCGGUAAUACGGAGGGGGCUAGCGUUGUUCGGAAUUACUGGGCGUAAAGCGUACGUAGGCGGUGGUUCAAGUCAGAGGUGAAAGCCCGGAGCUCAACUCCGGAACUGCCUUUGAAACUAGAUCGCUAGAACAUCGGAGAGGUAAGUGGAAUUCCGAGUGUAGAGGUGAAAUUCGUAGAUAUUCGGAAGAACACCAGUGGCGAAGGCGGCUUACUGGACGAUUGUUGACGCUGAGGUACGAAAGCGUGGGGAGCAAACAGGAUUAGAUACCCUGGUAGUCCACGCCGUAAACGAUGAUAACUAGCUGUUGGGCCUCAUAGAGGCUCAGUGGCGCAGCUAACGCAUUAAGUUAUCCGCCUGGGGAGUACGGUCGCAAGAUUAAAACUCAAACGAAUUGACGG
This 886-nucleotide ribosomal RNA is filed under the name uncultured bacterium. Its description in RNAcentral is "bacterial SSU rRNA". It matches the Rfam family "Bacterial small subunit ribosomal RNA", at positions 8 to 916 of the family's 1533-position model. The record is from RNAcentral.